AGUCGAGUGCGCGUCUGUAGCAAUACAGAUGGCGCACGGCGCACGGGUGCGUAACACGUGGGUAAUCUGCCCUUCGAUGGGGAAUAACCUCGCGAAAGCGAGGCUAAUUCCGCAUAACAUUCCUAAGACUUCGGUCCCUGGACUCAAAGCCGUAAGGCGUCGAUGGAGGAACCCGCGCACGAUUAGCUAGUUGGUGAGGUAACGGCUCACCAAGGCUAUGAUCGUUAGCUGGUCUGAGAGGAUGGCCAGCCACACUGGAACUGAGACACGGUCCAGACUCCUACGGGAGGCAGCAGUGGGGAAUCUUGCACAAUGGGCGAAAGCCUGAUGCAGCGACGCCGCGUGGGGGAUGAAGCAUUUCGGUGUGUAAACCCCUUUCGACCGGGAAGAAUGCCUCGCAAGAGGACUGACGGUACCGGUAUAAGAAGCCCCGGCUAACUACGUGCCAGCAGCCGCGGUAAGACGUAGGGGGCCAGCGUUGUUCGGAAUUACUGGGUGUAAAGGGUUCGUAGGCGGUGUGGCAAGUUGGGAGUGAAAUCUCUGGGCUUAACCCAGAGGCUGCUUCCAAAACUGCUGUGCUUGAGCGUGGGAGAGGUGCGUGGAAUUGCAGGUGUAGCGGUGAAAUGCGUAGAUAUCUGCAGGAACACCCGUGGCGAAAGCGGCGCACUGGACCACAACUGACGCUGAGGA
Molecule: ribosomal RNA, 690 nt
Filed under: uncultured bacterium
Lineage: Bacteria
Description: bacterial SSU rRNA
Rfam family: Bacterial small subunit ribosomal RNA
Source: RNAcentral